GCCGGGCCCCGCGCCCUCGGCCGCCGCGCAGGGUCUGGACGCGCGCCGCGGCUCCCUAGCCGGCCGGCCGACGCUCGGGGCGUACUCACAAUGAGCGGGAUGGUGCGGUCCUCGCGGAGCUGCUCCGACCUCCUGCCUGCCCUCUGCGCGCCCCGGCCGCCGGAGGAUGCUGCGUGGGCUCGGUUGUCCUGCCAUAAGUAGUAGAAAGUGCCCAGGAUCCAGGCUACGGUCAGGAUGGCGAUGGCAUUGGCGCGGAUCUUCCUCAUGGUGGGCAGACGGGCGCCCCAGGAAUGGACUCCAGCAGCAUCACAGAAUCAAAGCAACACCUAAGGAAUUCACUGUUUCUUCACAUACUUUGAACUGUGAAAACAAGAGUCAUCAUAAUAGCUGCAGUUUACUCAGUACCUACCAGGUACUGUCACCUAUACUGUCUCUAAAGCCCCUACAACCCUGAGCUAAGGAUGAUCAUAUCCCCAACUGCAGAUGAUGACACUGAAGCUCAACGGCUACUCAACUUGCCUGGAAUCCUACAGCAAGCCUCUCUGCAGCUCAGUGCCUAGGGGAAGAGGAGCCCAGUGACUGAGCUGGAGUCACACGCUGGAAGCUGCCUUCAGACCAGACCCUCCCUAAGGGUCCCUCUCUAGCCAGGCUGGCCAACAGCCUUGCUCCCCCGGCUGCCCCAUGGGCCUGGAGGGGUUCUGUGGGUGCACACCCGCUGCUGGCUACCCCUGCCGCCGGCACUCAUCUGAGCUGUCGAGCUGUGUAGGGAUUCCAUUCAGAGUGCUCCAGUAAGGGACUGGCCCCAUAGCUCCAGCAGCAGAUGGGCAAAGAGGCCUAAGAAUUCAGCAAAAGGGGAAGUACAUCCAGCCUUAAAUUCUCCAGGCUGUGCCAUCCCCUUUCAAAUGCAGACUGCCUUUGUUUGUUUUCUACUACUAAUAUAACAUGAGGACAGGCUCAUAAAAAAUAAUAAAAGGGCAAGAGAUGAGUAGGAGACAGGGUCCUCACAGAUCCCUUUGUUCCUGGCCUUAUCCCCAAACUGCUUGCCUCCAUGUGGCAGAGCUGAGCUGCAGGGUCUCUGGCAGGGUCCCACUGCCCUGGUCUCCCCAGUGCCUGCUCCUCAUCAACUUUCCCUCAUGACAUCCAGCCUCCACCUGACCUUCCUCUUUUGAUUCUAACCUUUAAUGGGUGCUGGCCCAUCACUUGUGUGUCCUAUGUUCUCUAUGCCCCUCCUCAGAUUUCUGAUCCCCCCCAUUACCUGUUUCACCGACUUAUGGCACUGCCACACUGCCAAGAAUAGCCAUCAUCACUGAGGUCUGCUUCCUAGUCUGGAGCUCUCACUUGCCCCACAACCGAGAUUGUUCGAGGUAGGAGCCUCUACCGUCCAUUCACAUACCCCAUACCCUACAUCUUUCCAGAAUCAACACAGCCAAUCUCCCCUUAGCAAGUAAAAAAUAUUCAUGUCCUUCCUUUGUAUGACCCCUUACUGGGAAUCCAGAGAUCAUGAUGCUUAGGUCUUGUAAGUGGUCUCCGUGGAUAGGGUGGGAAGAGGCCACAUUGGUCUUCUGAAGUCCUAACUCUCUUUGCUAAAAGAUACUCUUUUGAAAAUGGCUCUGCACGCUGCCCAUGCUCAAUCUGGGGUGUCCUGGCUGUGCUGGAGCACUGACUGCUGACCUCACAUUGCAGGCCCCAGUGUUUGCCACUGCAAUGAGCAGCCUCUCCUGCCUCCCCAGCUGCACACAGGCCCAGGUGGGGCUGGGCUGUCCCCAAGCAGGCCACGGGAAGGUGGAGGCAAGAAGAUCAUCGGGAAGCCAUGACAGUCAGACAAGCAGCAGCAGAUGGGGAUGUGCACUGGGUGGAGUGGACAAAUAGCACGAGGAAAAUCAGCUUUGGGGACAGAAAAAGCCAAGUGGGAAGUGUAAUAAAUACUAAAACCAGAAAAGCCUGAAGACAGUCCAUCUAGGGAGCAGCAGGAGGAUGGCUAACAUCACUGGAGUUUAGGUCGAAGGGGAGGACAGCAGGAGGGGUCGAGGUGGUCAGUAUUCCAGGGGCUAGGGACAAGAGAAAUGGCACAACAUAAGUCUCUCGGGAAGGGUCACUCACCUUCCAAGCUGUUGGACUCAUUGGCUGCCACAAGAAGAAUCUAUUUAAAACACACCAGGCAUUUUGCCUCAUUCUGUUUCCCUGCCCAGAAAAGGCUGGAGCCGAAGGCUGAGGGAGAGGGAAGGAUUCCAGCAUCAGGACCCUGCAUGGAUGACAUGGCUGAGACCAUUCAGGAUGGGGAAGAUCCCUGCUCCAUCCUGAAUGACCCACACUUACAUCCCCCACCCCCACCUAAGCUGCCAGGCCACUAAACUCCUCGCAUAUUGAACACAGUCCCAAAGGCAGCUUGUGGUACCAUUUCCACUGGGAAAUACUCAAUGGCUUCCUUCAUCCUGUUUUCAAGCUUGUCAGAAAGCAGAUGCUGCUCAAAUCUGACAGCUGCUCUUAAGGGCACGCUCAAAGGGCACUCCCUGACCAGUGGGAAUAUUCUUAAUGAUGACUGAGAGGCCUUGGGUGUUUAGACUAUGGCAAGACAAAGGAGCGAGCAUGAAAGGGCAUCAAGGGUAAAAUGGCCCUAGGGAAACCAUACGGGACUUGAAUUGGAAAACACCAACAGCCUCGCUCCUUUCUCUGGACUGUGUAUCUUUGGGAAGUUCUAAUUUGGAGAAGACCUGACUCCUUAUCCACCUGCCACAGAGAAAGUAUUAAUAAAAUAUGAGGCUAGGGUCUAUGAGAAGUGGCCCAGGAAAGCCAUCUAUGCAAAUUUUGUUUCCUUCCUACUUGAGAGGGUUGGGGAUGAGAGGUCCUUCCUUCCCUGGCUCAUAAGCCCAUGAGUUGUGUAAAACACUGUUCAAGAAGGCAGAAUAUAAGCCCUCUGUUGUGCAUGAUAUUCAUAUUCUUGAAAGAAUUAGUGUAUAAAUCAAAUUUUACCUGCCAGAGAAGCUGGCUUUUCAAAAUAAAUUUGAAGUCAAUCCUAUGUUUAAACAGAAGGAUGGCUUGUAAAGGUGAAUAACCAUCCUAGGUCACAAUUUGCAAAUUGGGAACUCUGAAUGUCUGACUUGGAUGGUGGGGCAGGGGGUUCUGUCUAGAGAUUAAUCUAUGGUUUGCUUUUAGGUUGCAACUAAGCAUUACUUUAAAACAAACAAAAGACUGAGUUUUUAAAGAACAUUUUUAAUGGAAAAUUUCAAAUAUAUAUAUAUAUAUAUAUAGAGAGAGAGGGGGCCCACUAUGAUAAACACACAGCUUCAGUGAUUCUCAACCCAUGGCCAAUCCUGUGAGAAACAUGAACUUUUGAACCAGCUGACAGAUAUAGAGGAUGAACUUCGUGGUACAGAACAAAAAGAAGUAGUCCUACUCAGGCUGCAGUAUCCAAAACGUUUCUGCAUAAAUGCCCUAAACUAGAGCCUAAAGUGUGAAACAAAGGGGUGGAGAAUAUUAUUGGUUCGCGACCAAAUAAGAAACCUGGGAAUUAAAACACAAAACAAAACCACACACACAUACAAUCUCUCUGAGGGAUGCAAAUUAAUAGUAACACUGGUUGCCUUCAAGGAGGGCAGAAAGACUGGAGCGAUUUUCAUUAUAUGUUUUUUAAAAAUUUUAUACUAUGUGCACAUUUUACCUAUUUUUAAAAAUUAACUUACUAAAAACAAACAUGAAGCUUUGCAAUAACCAAAUCCACUAGAUGUGACAAAAGGGAAAACUGUCUGGACUCAAUAUAUAAGAGGACUUAUAUUCUGCCUUACUGAACAGUGUUUUACACAACUCAUGGGCUUAUGAGCCAGGGAAGGACGGACCUCUCAUCCCCAACCCUCUCAAGUAGGAAGGAAACAAAAUUUGCAUGGAUGGCUUUCCUGGGCCACUUCUCCUACACCCUAGCCUUAUAUUCUAUUAAUACUUUCUCUGUGGCAGGUGGAUCUUCAUCACAUUUUGAUCUGGAUUUACUGUUUUAUAGUAAUUUUCUCAGCUAGAAGAAUGCACAACCUUCCAAUCCCAAAACGUACAUCAUUAGAAUAGGUGCUUCACAAAAUAUUAAAAACACCAGCCCCUGGUGGUUAUAUGGAUAUAUGCAUUUGUCAAAAUUCAUUGAGUUGUAUUCUUAGAUGUGUGCACUUUAUCAUAUGUUACUUAUAC
This 4170-nucleotide long non-coding RNA is filed under the name Homo sapiens (human). RNAcentral describes it as "HSALNT0377715". Lineage: Eukaryota; Metazoa; Chordata; Mammalia; Primates; Hominidae. The record is from RNAcentral.